AUGAGUCGACCUGAUGGGAUCAACAUCCCCGAUGGCAAGUUCUACCUUGGAGAUGUUGGCUAUGCAUGUCGGCCGGGUAUUCUUCCACCCUUCAGGAAAACAAGGUACCAUCUCAACGAGUUCUCUGGUAGGAACUUUCCUAGGACUGCACAGGAGCUGUUUAAUUUGAGACACUCCAGCCUUAGAGUAACUGUUGAGAGGGCAUUUAGAGCUCUAAAGAAUAGGUUUAAGAUCCUGGAUCAGAAGCCAUUCCACCCAUACUCCACUCAAGUUAAGCUAGUUCUUGCUUGUUGCAUUCUGCAUAACUGGAUCCUCCAGUGGGGCUUUUAUGAACACGUGCCUGAGGAGGAAGAGGUCGACCCUGACGAUGUUGUUAGCUCUGGCCAUGGUGUGGAGGCAUUUGACAAUGACGCUUGGAAGAACAAAAGGUUGGAGUGGGCAGAGGCAAUGUGGCUU
Molecule: ribosomal RNA, 456 nt
Filed under: Triticum aestivum (bread wheat)
Lineage: Eukaryota; Viridiplantae; Streptophyta; Magnoliopsida; Poales; Poaceae
Description: partial small subunit ribosomal RNA
Source: RNAcentral